CAGCCGCCGCGGUAAUACAGAGGGUGCGAGCGUUAAUCGGAUUUACUGGGCGUAAAGCGUGCGUAGGCGGCUUUUUAAGUCGGAUGUGAAAUCCCUGAGCUUAACUUAGGAAUUGCAUUCGAUACUGGGAAGCUAGAGUAUGGGAGAGGAUGGUAGAAUUCCAGGUGUAGCGGUGAAAUGCGUAGAGAUCUGGAGGAAUACCGAUGGCGAAGGCAGCCAUCUGGCCUAAUACUGACGCUGAGGUACGAAAGCAUGGGGAGCAAACAGGAUUAGAGACCCCAGUAGUCCCUGUCUCUUAUAC
Molecule: ribosomal RNA, 301 nt
Filed under: uncultured bacterium
Lineage: Bacteria
Description: partial 16S ribosomal RNA
Rfam family: Bacterial small subunit ribosomal RNA
Source: RNAcentral